This 224-nucleotide ribosomal RNA is filed under the name uncultured bacterium. Its description in RNAcentral is "partial 16S ribosomal RNA". It matches the Rfam family "Bacterial small subunit ribosomal RNA", at positions 107 to 334 of the family's 1533-position model. The record is from RNAcentral.
UGAGUAAUGUCUGGGAAACUGCCUGAUGGAGGGGGGUAACUACUGGAAACGGUAGCUAAUACCGCAUAACGUCGCAAGACCAAAGAGGGGGACCUUCGGGCCUCUUGCCAUCGGAUGUGCCCAGAUGGGAUUAGCUAGUAGGUGGGGUAACGGCUCACCUAGGCGACGAUCCCUAGCUGGUCUGAGAGGAUGACCAGCCACACUGGAACUGAGACACGGUCCAG